This is a long non-coding RNA of Mytilus trossulus (common blue mussel), 924 nucleotides long. RefSeq lists it as uncharacterized. The transcript is spliced from 4 exons. Lineage: Eukaryota; Metazoa; Mollusca; Bivalvia; Mytilida; Mytilidae. The record is from RefSeq and is a predicted model, not a curated record.
UCGUGUUCAAUGCACAAUCGCAAUUUCAAUUACCAUGUAAAACCUAAAUUAAAAUCAUGUGUAGCAGUUUGUUUUGGUUUGUCUUCGUCUCUACUUUCUGUUUAAAGUUCCAUAUUCCUACGCACAAUUAUAAUGAUUGAUUUUUUAUUAUGAAUAAAAUAUUAUUUAAUAAAUCAUACAAAAAUUCACAUUAAUAUAAUUUUUGAUUGGAAACGAUCAUAAAUUCUAUAAAUUAUCGGUAUUUUUGUAGGGAAUAUUUAGGCGUAGUGAUAUCCUGAUUUUAGCGGAAGUUGUUGACAGGCUGAUCACUGAUCUUCACAAAGUGAAACCAAAUGAAAUUUAGUAAAACAGUUAUUAAUAUUUGAAAAACAGAUUGACUUGUGUACACUGAGGUACCAUAUUUAGGAAGCACUUCAAGUCAACAGACAUCUGGUAAAGUAAAGAAAAAACAGAGAAAAUCCUUGACAGUUGAAAGUGACACAGAGAUAGAUGAACCAGUGGUAACAACAACCAGUAAAAUUGCUAAAAGAUCAAGACGCAAAUGUUCUGGACCAAAAUUUGUAGGGAGAGAAAUAGUACAUGAAUGGGUGGAGGAAAACAGCAACAGAAAGUGGUAUAAAGGCAGGGUUAUUUCUGUUAUCAAGAAUAAAGAUGGAGACAAAGAUGCUGUAUAUGAAGUUCUAUAUGAAGACUGUGAUGAACCUUAUGAGAUUGAUCAUUUGCUAGAGGAUUUUACAAAUUCCUCUUUGAAAUUGAUUGAUUUAUAGAUUUUUAGAAGACAGAAGAUAUACAGGGCAUUUUUUCUACAAAAGGACUUACAUUUGGUAUUAUAUUACUUUUAUUUGACAUUUUAUAUUUAAAUAAAUGUGACAUUAUGAUAGUAAUGACCAUGACGAACACAUUGAUAUGUAAUAAGUCAUAAAU